UUUCGUGGUCAGUUGCGGGAGCCAGCGGCGAGUGAGCGGCAAAAGCUCAGAUUUGGAAUCGCUUCGGCGAGUUGUGAAUUGCAGGUUGGCGCCUCUGCGGCGGCGGCGGUCCAAGUCCCUUGGAACAGGGCGCCAUUGAGGGUGAGAGCCCCGUGGGACCGUUUGCCUACGCUUUGAGGCCCUUCUGACGAGUCGAGUUGUUUGGGAAUGCAGCUCUAGCGGGUGGUAAAUUCCAUCUAAGGCUAAAUACUGGCGAGAGACCGAUGCGAACAAGUACUGUGAAGGAAAGAUGAAAAGCACUUUGAAAAGAGAGUGAAACAGCACGUGAAAUUGUUGAAAGGGAAGGGUAUUGCGCCCGACAUGGAGCGUGCGCACCGCUGCCCCUCGUGGGCGGCGCUCUGGGCGUGCUCUGGGCCAGCAUCGGUUUUUGCCGCGGGAGAAGGGCGGCUGGCAUGUAGCUCUUCGGAGUGUUAUAGCCUGCCGCCGGCGCCGCGAGCGGGGACCGAGGACUGCGACUUUUGUCUCGGAUGCUGGCACAACGGCGCAACACCGCCCGUCUUGAAACACGGACAAGACAAUUAUAAAAAGAAAUAAGGAAGAUA
This 602-nucleotide ribosomal RNA is filed under the name Pichia sp. RNAcentral describes it as "LSU rRNA". It matches the Rfam family "Eukaryotic large subunit ribosomal RNA", at positions 66 to 701 of the family's 3401-position model. Lineage: Eukaryota; Fungi; Ascomycota; Pichiomycetes; Pichiales; Pichiaceae. The record is from RNAcentral.